GUUAAUGGUGUUCCUCUAAGCAACAUUUUGCUACUCAUCUUUAAACUUACAAAACCCUUGUCCCUCUGAAUAACAGAACUCUAUUUUUUGCUUUAUCAGCAAAAACUUUUUAAUUUCAAUUUAGUCCCUACUCCCUACUUAAGUAGCCAGGAGAGUAUUUUUGAAAUUUACGGGGGCAAACGAUGACUUUCAGUGGGUGUGAGAAGAAAAUCUCAUAUUUAUUUAUUUAUUUAUGGGUUGGGCCAUUAAGCCCAAAUUAACA
RNAcentral lists this long non-coding RNA (262 nucleotides) under Trifolium pratense (red clover). RNAcentral's name for it is "long non-coding RNA (TPRA_LNC010037)". The record is from RNAcentral. Lineage: Eukaryota; Viridiplantae; Streptophyta; Magnoliopsida; Fabales; Fabaceae.